This is a long non-coding RNA of Oncorhynchus keta (chum salmon), 899 nucleotides long. RefSeq lists it as uncharacterized. NCBI's taxonomy places the organism in Eukaryota, Metazoa, Chordata, Actinopteri, Salmoniformes, Salmonidae. The record is from RefSeq and is a predicted model, not a curated record. The transcript has 3 exons.
GUGAUUGAAAGUCAAACUGAGAUCCACAUGCCAGUCCAGUUGUUGGUGGUAAUGCACCUUAAAGUUGGUGGCCUACUGCCAUAUAAAGUACGAAGAAGCCUGAAGGAGGAGAGAUUACUAGAAAACAAACGUUUACCUGUGGAUUAAUUAUCGGAGUAGAAGACUUUGUGCAUUUCAGUUUGGAUAUUUCAACCUGCGUGUCCGGUGUGGGAGGACAAAACCAGCAUGUACGAGUUACGCCUAAAUGGCAGUGGACAAGACUAACCCUGAACAGCCAACUUUCUCAAACUGGCAAUGAAGCCACAUGGUAAAUGGUAAUAUGCUCUAAACCGCUCUGUGCUGCCCUGUUUCCAAUCGUCCACAUGGCUGCGAGAACCUAUUCAAGUAAGUAAAUCCAUUUCGAAUGUAAACUAUAUUAUUAGCUACAGUGCAGUCUAACUCAAAUGAGCUGCUAACGUAACUAACUAGCUAGCUAUCUAGCCAACUUUACACUGCAAGGUUUGGUGACCAGGGCCAUCUGGGACUGCCUCCUGAGGGCCUUCAGGCGUGUCAAGGCUACCUGUGUCCUGCAUAACUUAAUGGACACGAGGACCAGGAGGGGGAUCUACAGCUUGCCGCCGUGUGCCAGAGGAGAGGUCUACAGGAUGUUUCAAGGAUAGGGGCAAAUAACUGGGCACAGGAGGCAAUCCAUGUGUGGGCGAUCUUCACCACCUUCUUCAAAGAGGGUGUUGUUCCCUGGCAACACCAUAGACUACACUAUGCACAACCAAAUGCUUCUUAAGAGCCAUCCACAUUGCAAUAAGAGUAUUCUUCCAUUUACUUAGCUAUGUCAACUGCAGUUAUUCAAUUCCAGGUUUCAUUCCUUUUGAUUUAUACUUCAGGUGAGGGUUCUGUCUGUA